UUUUCACGGAAUUUAACCUUUCAAAAAAUUUAGGUAACCAACCCACGUUAAUAUCUCUCUCUCUCUCUCUCUCUCUCUCUCUCUCUCAUCUCUACCCACUUACAAAUCACUACCCUCUCUCUCAUCAAUUCAACCUAGCCAGGAGGAAGAACUCGACGACCCUCUGCUUCCAGAUCUGCCUCCGGGGAAAUCACUACAAAAGGUUGGCAAAAUAUUAACCCUUAAACCCCAGUUCUAAGUGAUUUUCUCGUGUAGCACUAGAAAUAUAAAUUUAAGUAUAUAUGUUUGUAAGUUUUGUGAAAAAAAAAGUUGUAGACAGUGAUCGCUUCUUGUAAUUGUUUAAAUUUCUGAAUACAUGCUAAGAUUAGUUUUUUCGUUCACGAGGUAGUUGAUAAAUAAUUUUUCAUCAUAUUAGUGGUUCUCGUAAUUCGCCUUUUAUUUCAAUUAGCUUUUCGGGUCGAUUUUUUUCUCCUGCACAAUGUUCUUAAUUUCUUUAAAUUUAGUAAGAAAUGGUAGGUCAGAAGAUAUCUGCUCCGCUGUUUGAACGACCCUAACAAACCUGUCGACCAGAAAUUCUAAGUAGGCAGUAUUCAAAAUUUUCAUAUCUUGUUUCUCCAUAUUCGCUCACAAAAAGAAAACCAGAGGGGAGAGAGUAAAUAAAGGGGUGGGGAGAGGAGUAUAUAACCUUAGUGUAGGGUGAGAAUUAUGAGGCGUUUAUCUGAUUGUAUAUGGUUAGUUGAGAAAUGACGUUAGUUAGUAACAGUUGGCAGGCCUGAACAGAUUGACGCACCUGGAAUACGGUAGGAAGUGUUGGUGACCACCGUUUAAUGAGUUAGUUUUUUUUUUCUUUUCUCACAUGGUUUUCCUGUUGCAAAGUGAAAACACUGCGCAAAACAAAAGGACUGAUUAGUGUUGACUGACUCUUUUUAAAUUGACUUCUAGCAUAAUGUUACAUACUGACCGUUGCAACUUGACUCCAAUUUUCCCAAGUCUGCUUUGCUUUAAUAUGAAAUCAAUGGAAAGUGAAUGUUUUCUUGGAUCAUAUAUACACUCUUCCCUACAGAAGAGAAGAACCAAAAUGGAAUUUAACUCUGUUGGCAAAAAAGGCUUACUGUCUUACUAUAGCAAUGGCUUCAUAGAUGAGCAGUGGUGGCUAGACUUGAACCUAGGAUCUUUUACUUGCUCUCAUACCAUGUUCCUUGCGUAUUGACAACUUGAGAACAACUUUUUUGAAUGGAGCAGAUGCCAUAAGACAAAAAUUAGUCAAGGUCCAUUAGUUGAUAUAAAUUGAACUCUGGUUUCUGUUUAUUUCCAGGAUAUAAGGUUCUAUUGCUUUGAUUUUAAGAUUUUAGUUUCAACUUGUGUAGUUCUGAGUCCUUUCGACAAGGUAAUGUAAUUAGAAUCAAGAUUUUAAUAUAAAUAUUGCACAUAUUAUUCCUUCGGGGUUUAUAUUGAACCUGUAAUUUUGUAUUGCGUGAUUUCAUCCACGGUGAGUUCAAGGUCAAGCUGAUUUUGACCAGUAGACUACAAUAACAAUCUCAUGUGAUGAGAUGGUUUGAAAGGAUCUUACACAUAACUGGGUAGUCGAUUUGUCUAUAGGAUCCCCUACGUCCACGCUUAAAAAUUCCUUAUCUUGGUGCCUGUAAUCGCCAAGAUGUAGUGGUAUCUUCUCAGAAUAUGAAUUGACAUUGUAAACAUGGCUGCUGCUUGGAUAUUUUUUCACUUGACACGACUUUCUUGGGAAUAAACAUAUCGAACCUUAAUGCUCUUUUAAUGGAGAGGAAUGAAGAGAAAGAAAAGAGAAAUUUGAGAAGAGGAAAAACCUCAAUUCUUUCUUUUCUUUAUUUUUUUAAAAUCUAAACCGUAAAUUCUCAUUGAUUUAGUUCACUGCAAACAGCGAAUGACAGGAAAGAUGUUAAACAAUGAAGUCAAAAAGCAGACUCCUCAGUCAUAAAAGCAUGAGCAGCGAGCUUGUGGCUGCUAUGUUCCUCAGAGGGACAUAGUGACAAGGACCACUAUGCAAAUCCGAAAACAACUCAGCAAUAUCAGACAAAGAAAAACCUCAGUUCUAAUUAGUACUCAAAUUGUAUAGAAUCUGAAAAUCUUGUUCCCGUUUUACACUUGUAUAAAACUUGAGUCAAAGGGAACCAAUAUUCCGUCUAACAGCAUAAAAAUAUCGUCAAAACCAUUUUAAUCUAAUCUGAAAAUUAUAUAAAAUCCAAAUCAUUCUAUUUUUCUUAAUUUACGUUUUUAAUAUUCUGUCAUGAAUCCUUAGAAUUCGCUUUGAUUUCUCUGUUUGUUUUAUACCAUGUUCUUUCUUUAUCUGAAAUGGUGUGGGUGAAUUUGUUUUACAAUUUGGAACUAUAUAGUUGUUCUAUUCCAAGAAAUCAGAAGGAAGAAAAAUUCUGGUCAAGUAUGUAGGAUUUUUGAAGUGCUAGCUAUUGUAAUGAUGUUAUGUUAUUCUUUAUAAACAAAUUUUUAUUAGAUUUUUGUUUACCAUGGUAGUUUAUAACAUGGCUUCAACAACAAAUCAACGUCGAAGCCGACGACAACAUUUAUGUUUAUUUUGGACAAUGGUCAUACAAUCGAUUGUGAUAUAUAACGAACUUAGGCGUCGUGCACGACAUCUUCCAAGAGCUCCUCAUACAAAUUGGAAUUCUGAAAGAGAAAUAACACUUACACGAAUGUUUGGCACGAGUGAUACAAUAUGUCGUGAUCUCCUUAGGAUGAAAAUAGGUCCAUUUCAAAGAUUAUGUGCUCGUUUGCGAACUUAUGGAUUGGUUGACAGUAAAUACGUUCGAAUUGAGGAACAAGUCGCAAUUUUUCUGAAUACAGUUGGGCAUGAUCAACGUAAUCGCGCUGGACAUUUUACUUUCUUUCGCUCUGGUCAAACAGUGAGCUUUUACUUUCACAAAGUCUUACACGCUUGUCUGGGACUGUAUAGAG
Molecule: long non-coding RNA, 2946 nt
Filed under: Olea europaea subsp. europaea
Lineage: Eukaryota; Viridiplantae; Streptophyta; Magnoliopsida; Lamiales; Oleaceae
Source: RNAcentral